UUAAGUCAGAUGUGAAAGACCCGGGCGUUAACCUCCGGAAUUGCAUUUGUAAACUAGGCAGGCUAGAGUCUUGUAGAGGGGGUAGGAAGUUUCUAGGUGUAGCGGUGAAAUAGCGUAGAGAUCUGAAGGAAUACCAGUGGCGAAGGCGGCCCCUCGGACAAAGACUGACGCUCAGAUGCGAAAGCGUGGGGAGCAAACAGGAUUAGAUACCCUGGUAG
RNAcentral lists this ribosomal RNA (218 nucleotides) under uncultured bacterium. RNAcentral's name for it is "partial 16S ribosomal RNA". It matches the Rfam family "Bacterial small subunit ribosomal RNA", at positions 583 to 793 of the family's 1533-position model. The record is from RNAcentral.